RNAcentral lists this ribosomal RNA (506 nucleotides) under uncultured bacterium. RNAcentral describes it as "partial 16S ribosomal RNA". It matches the Rfam family "Bacterial small subunit ribosomal RNA", at positions 29 to 523 of the family's 1533-position model. The record is from RNAcentral.
AGUGAACGCUGGCGGCAGGCCUAACACAUGCAAGUCGAACGGCAGCACGGCAGUAGCAAUACUGUGGGUGGCGAGUGGCGGACGGGUGAGGAAUACAUGGGAAUCUACCCUGUCGUGGGGGAUAACGUAGGGAAACUUACGCUAAUACCGCAUACGACCGAGAGGUGAAAGCGGCGGACCGCAAGGCGUCGCGCGAUUGGAUGAGCCCAUGUCGGAUUAGCUAGGUGGCGGGGUAAAGGCCCACCAAGGCGACGAUCCGUAGCUGGUCUGAGAGGAUGAUCAGCCACACUGGAACUGAGACACGGUCCAGACUCCUACGGGAGGCAGCAGUGGGGAAUAUUGGACAAUGGGCGCAAGCCUGAUCCAGCCAUGCCGCGUGAGUGAAGAAGGCCUUCGGGUUGUAAAGCUCUUUUGUCCGGAAAGAAAAGCUCUCGGUUAAUACCCGGGGGUGAUGACGGUACCGGAAGAAUAAGCACCGGCUAACUUCGUGCCAGCCGCCGCCGGAA